GAGACAUGGACUGGUAACAUUAUCGUCUUGCAUGUUUUGUUUACAUUAAUAAAUUGUAGCGAUUUUACAGAAAACAUAGAAAUUUAGGACUAACAUUGUGUAAUUUAUUUCUUUUCAGGUACCCCCGCCAGAAGGACGGAAGCAUAGAGUCGCUGAGGAGCCUAAAUAGCCAUUACAGGUGAGUUUUUGUUGUGUGUUGGCUGUGGACUGUUGUGGCCGCAGGGAGUGGGCCACUUGCAACAAGUAUGUCCGGCUGGAGUUGCAGGUGAGUUAUUCUUGGUGGCAGCAUCCAGCGCCGCCGUCAUUUGGUGAAGAUCCGUUAUGUCGUCAGUGGCAGAUUUAUGCAAUUGUUUAAUGAGAUUGUUUGUGUUGCAGAUGCAAGUUGCCGAUCGUCAGGAAGAGGAGUUGCGCAGACAUAUCCCACGCAGCUGUCGUUGCAUUUUUAUUGAGCUGCUGGCGUUAUGGUGGUGGAGUGCUCUCUAGUGAGAAGUCGUCAGUGCGGAUUGAAGCUCGAUCUAUCACCGAGGAGAGCCAGGUGCGCCGCGUCUUGUGGCCGUAGCAUCAGGAUUGGCAGCUAGUGGCCGCCGGUUCGAGAUUUGUUGCAGAGAGCGGCCGCAACAAGAAUGGCAUGGAAAUGGAUGUAAAAAUAGAAUUUGGUACAUUGAGUGGAAUUUAAUUUAAGGUACUUAAGGAGGAAGCUAGUCUGGGGUACAUUUUGUAAGAGCUAGUUUGGAGGACCUUUGUUAUUGUGCUAUUGCAGCUGGAAUGCCGCGGUUUUGGAGUCAUCAAGUUGCAAUUAGAUAAGUAUUAUAUUUUAAAUAUAUAUUUCCCAGUAAUAGCUUGUGUUCCCUUGUUUCAAUAGUUAGAGUCUUUGAAGCUGGAGCUGCGUGCUUGACGUCAGCAGGAUGGAGCCGUUCACUAGCAUCUGCUACUUUGUCUGUCCGGUUUGUUAUUAUUUAUGUGUUCUUGAGUAAUCUUUGUAUCGCAUUCUUAUUUAUUUUCCUUUCAUUACAGGUUAGGAGAGAAUUCGUCGAAGAUACAGAACUGAGGAGAAAUAUGCAAUUUAAGGACAAGUUUUGCACCAUAUUGAUGUGGCAUCUGCGCCACGCAAAUUAUCCUUAUUUAUGCGUUGGCGUCAGGAGAUGGAGACGGCAUCAUAAAAUUGUCAACUUUUUGUAUUUAAAAUCGCGAAAGUUGGCGAUUUUGUUUUGCUUUUGCGGUGCCUGUCUCUUAUUGUCGGUUGCGUUGAAGGAUUUACGUGCGUGGCGUCAGGAGUAUGGAAUCGCAUAUCUGUAUCUGCUUGUUU
Long non-coding RNA from Drosophila mauritiana, 1306 nucleotides. RefSeq lists it as uncharacterized. Lineage: Eukaryota; Metazoa; Arthropoda; Insecta; Diptera; Drosophilidae. The transcript is spliced from 4 exons. The record is from RefSeq and is a predicted model, not a curated record.